Molecule: ribosomal RNA, 216 nt
Filed under: Glomeromycotina sp.
Lineage: Eukaryota; Fungi; Glomeromycota
Description: partial small subunit ribosomal RNA
Rfam family: Eukaryotic small subunit ribosomal RNA (bases 47-216)
Source: RNAcentral
GGGUCAGUAGGUUGGUCGUGCCACCGGUACGUACUGGUCUCACUGGUUCCUCCUUCCUGAAGAACCGUAAUGCCAUUAAUUUGGUGUUGCGGGGAAACAGGACUGUUACUUUGAAAAAAUUAGAGUGUUUAAAGCAAGCUAACGCUUGAAUACAUUAGCAUGGAAUAAUGAAAUAGGACGAUCGAUCCUAUAUUGUUGGUUUCUAGGAUUGACGUA